AUAUCACUAAGCGGAGGAAAAGAAACUAACAAGGAUUCCCUUAGUAACGGCGAGUGAACAGGGAAAAGCCCAGCACCGAAGCCUGUGACCGUUUGGUUACUAGGCAAUGUGGUGUUUAGGCCUGUCCUUGUAGGCACUGUCUCACUCUAAGUCCAGUAUUGAGUACGGCGUUUACCUGUCCCAGAGAGGGUGAAAGGCCCGUAGGAGUGGGAUGCAGAAUGGUCAGUGCCUGCCUGGAUAGACCUUGGAGUCGGGUUGUUUGUGAAUGCAGCCCAAAGCGGGUGGUAAACUCCAUCCAAGGCUAAAUACUUGCACGAGUCCGAUAGCGAACAAGUACCGUGAGGGAAAGUUGAAAAGUACUUUGAAGAGAGAGUAAACAGUGCGUGAAGCCGCUCAAAGGUAAACGGGUAGAGUUGAACUGCAAGCUCUGAGGAAUAAGCUAGUGAGAUUGGCGUGGCCUUGGCCAUGUGGGUUGUGCGCUGGGAUCCAUGAGCUUAUAUGGGUCUGACCCUUUCGGGGGGAGGAUGCGUUUGGGUGCUUAUCAGGCACUGCGCGUUCCAGUGUGUGUGUUCGAAUCCGCUCGCUAGUGCACGUUCUCAGGGUGUUCACCACGACCGACGCAGCCGUCUGUCUGUUGUAUUCAAACCCGGCCUGCUUAGUCCUUGUGGCUUUGUAGGUCGGGGAUGGCAGGUAGCUUGUUUGUGCGUACCAGCAAUGGUGCGUACGUUCAAGUGUAAUCAGCUGGGUAUAGCAGAACUGUGCGGUGUGUCGGAGACGGCGGCUUGGUAUGGCUGCAUGUCGCCUAGUUUGGUUAGGCUGGUUUGGGUCUGGUUGUCGUGUUGCUUGUGAAAAUGGCAAGCCCGAUGAUGGCUCGGAUCAGUCUGGUCGGCGGUGGCGUGUGCUGUUCAUUAAGGGCCGUAUAGUCUGUGGUGUAGUGGUAGACGAUCUACCCGA
Molecule: ribosomal RNA, 954 nt
Filed under: Gymnophallidae gen. sp. SCC-2014
Lineage: Eukaryota; Metazoa; Platyhelminthes; Trematoda; Gymnophallidae
Description: eukaryotic LSU rRNA
Rfam family: Eukaryotic large subunit ribosomal RNA
Source: RNAcentral